This 461-nucleotide ribosomal RNA is filed under the name uncultured bacterium. RNAcentral describes it as "bacterial SSU rRNA". It matches the Rfam family "Bacterial small subunit ribosomal RNA", at positions 339 to 791 of the family's 1533-position model. The record is from RNAcentral.
UUACGGGAGGCAGCAGUGGGGAAUAUUGGACAAUGGGGGGAACCCUGAUCCAGCCAUGCCGCGUGUGUGAAGAAGGCCUUUUGGUUGUAAAGCACUUUAAGCGAGGAGGAGGAGCUCUAGAUUAAUACUCUAGAUGCUUGGACGUUACUCGCAGAAUAAGCACCGGCUAACUCUGUGCCAGCAGCCGCGGUAAUACAGAGGGUGCAAGCGUUAAUCGGAUUUACUGGGCGUAAAGCGUGCGUAGGUGGUCUUUUAAGUCGGAUGUGAAAUCCCUGAGCUUAACUUAGGAAUUGCAUUCGAUACUGGGAGACUAGAGUAUGGGAGAGGAUGGUAGAAUUCCAGGUGUAGCGGUGAAAUGCGUAGAGAUCUGGAGGAAUACCGAUGGCGAAGGCAGCCAUCUGGCCUAAUACUGACACUGAGGUACGAAAGCAUGGGGAGCAAACAGGAUUAGAUACCCCGGU